GGGAGCACAGGAUCUUGGGCUGUGUCUGCUCAGUGCCCUGGGAUCUGGGGUCUGUGCUGCUGGAAUCACGCUCCUGGGGCCCUGGCUCCU
Molecule: microRNA precursor, 90 nt
Filed under: Canis lupus familiaris (dog)
Lineage: Eukaryota; Metazoa; Chordata; Mammalia; Carnivora; Canidae
Also listed under: 2 other names
Description: mir-8799 microRNA precursor family
Rfam family: mir-8799 microRNA precursor family
Source: Rfam by way of RNAcentral